GGGGAUGUAGAUCAGUGGCAGAGUGCAUGCCUAGCAUGUAUGAGGUACUGAGUUUGAUCCUUAGCACUGCA
This 71-nucleotide transfer RNA is filed under the name Marmota monax (woodchuck). Its description in RNAcentral is "tRNA.Ala". Lineage: Eukaryota; Metazoa; Chordata; Mammalia; Rodentia; Sciuridae. The record is from RNAcentral.